GACGAACGCUGGCGGCGUGCUUAACACAUGCAAGUCGAACGGAAAGGCCCUGCUUUUGUGGGGUGCUCGAGUGGCGAACGGGUGAGUAACACGUGAGUAACCUGCCCUUGACUUUGGGAUAACUUCAGGAAACUGGGGCUAAUACCGGAUAGGAGCUCCUGCUGCAUGGUGGGGGUUGGAAAGUUUCGGCGGUUGGGGAUGGACUCGCGGCUUAUCAGCUUGUUGGUGGGGGAGUGGCUUACCAAGGCUUUGACGGUUAGCCGGCCUGAGAGGGUGACCGGCCACAUUGGGACUGAGAUACGGCCCAGACUCCUACGGGAGGCAGCAGUGGGGAAUAUUGCACAAUGGGCGGAAGCCUGAUGCAGCAACGCCGCGUGCGGGAUGACGGCCUUCGGGUUGUAAACCGCUUUAGCCUGUGACGAAGCGGGAGUGACGGUAAUGGGUAAAGAAGCACCGGCUAACUACGUG
This 468-nucleotide ribosomal RNA is filed under the name uncultured bacterium. Its description in RNAcentral is "partial 16S ribosomal RNA". It matches the Rfam family "Bacterial small subunit ribosomal RNA", at positions 28 to 507 of the family's 1533-position model. The record is from RNAcentral.